Molecule: transfer RNA, 82 nt
Filed under: Bifidobacterium gallicum DSM 20093 = LMG 11596
Lineage: Bacteria; Bacillati; Actinomycetota; Actinomycetes; Bifidobacteriales; Bifidobacteriaceae
Description: tRNA-Gln
Rfam family: tRNA
About the family: Transfer RNA (tRNA) molecules are approximately 80 nucleotides in length. Their secondary structure includes four short double-helical elements and three loops (D, anti-codon, and T loops).
Source: RNAcentral
GGCUGGAUAUCCAAGCGGUCGACGGGGCCGGCCUUGUGCCGGGUGGCAUUCGCCUUUGCGGGUUCGAACCCCGCUCCAGCUG